UACGUAGGGGGCAAGCGUUGUCCGGAUUUAUUGGGCGUAAAGCGCGUGUAGGCGGCCAGGUAGGUCCGUUGUGAAAACUCGAGGCUCAACCUCGAGACGUCGACGGAAACCAUCUGGCUAGAGUCCGGAAGAGGAGAGUGGAAUUCCUGGUGUAGCGGUGAAAUGCGUUGAUAUGUGUCGGAACACCAAUGGCGAAAGCAAUCUCCUGGACGCAAACUGACGCUGAGAUACGAAAGCCAAGGUAGCAAACAGG
This 253-nucleotide ribosomal RNA is filed under the name uncultured bacterium. Its description in RNAcentral is "partial 16S ribosomal RNA". It matches the Rfam family "Bacterial small subunit ribosomal RNA", at positions 524 to 776 of the family's 1533-position model. The record is from RNAcentral.